GGAGAGGUGUCCGAGCGGUCGAUGGUGCUUGCUUGGAAGGCAAGUGUACCCACAAGGUACCGAGAGUUCAAAUCUCUCCCUCUCCG
This 86-nucleotide transfer RNA is filed under the name Jonquetella anthropi DSM 22815. It matches the Rfam family "tRNA". Rfam says of the family: Transfer RNA (tRNA) molecules are approximately 80 nucleotides in length. Their secondary structure includes four short double-helical elements and three loops (D, anti-codon, and T loops). Lineage: Bacteria; Thermotogati; Synergistota; Synergistia; Synergistales; Dethiosulfovibrionaceae. The record is from Rfam by way of RNAcentral.